UACGUAGGGUGCGAGCGUUGUCCGGAAUUAUUGGGCGUAAAGAGCUCGUAGGCGGUGUGUCGCGUCGGCCGUGAAAACCUGCAGCUUAACUGUGGGCUUGCGGUCGAUACGGGCAUCACUGGAGUUCGGCAGGGGAGACUGGAAUUCCUGGUGUAGCGGUGAAAUGCGCAGAUAUCAGGAGGAACACCGGUGGCGAAGGCGGGUCUCUGGGACGGUACUGACGCUGAGACGCGAAAGCGUGGGGAGCAAACAGG
This 254-nucleotide ribosomal RNA is filed under the name uncultured bacterium. RNAcentral's name for it is "partial 16S ribosomal RNA". It matches the Rfam family "Bacterial small subunit ribosomal RNA", at positions 524 to 776 of the family's 1533-position model. The record is from RNAcentral.